GAUGAACGCUAGCGGCAGGCUUAACACAUGCAAGUCGAGGGGUAACAGGAGAUAGUUUACUAUUUUGCUGACGACCGGCGCACGGGUGAGUAACGCGUAUACAAUUUGCCUUUUACAGGAGGAUAGCCCAGAGAAAUUUGGAUUAAUACUCCAUGGUAUUACGGAAUCGCAUGGUUUUGUAAUUAAAGUUUCGGCGGUAGAAGAUGAGUAUGCGUCCUAUUAGCUAGUUGGUAAGGUAACGGCUUACCAAGGCGACGAUAGGUAGGGGUCCUGAGAGGGAGAUCCCCCACACUGGUACUGAGACACGGACCAGACUCCUACGGGAGGCAGCAGUGAGGAAUAUUGGUCAAUGGAGGCAACUCUGAACCAGCCAUGCCGCGUGCAGGAAGACUGCCCUAUGGGUUGUAAACUGCUUUUAUACAGGAAGAAAACUUACCCACGUGUGGGUAACUGACGGUACUGUACGAAUAAGGACCGGCUAACUCCGUG
This 489-nucleotide ribosomal RNA is filed under the name uncultured bacterium. RNAcentral describes it as "bacterial SSU rRNA". It matches the Rfam family "Bacterial small subunit ribosomal RNA", at positions 28 to 507 of the family's 1533-position model. The record is from RNAcentral.